GACGAACGCUGGCGGCGUGCCUAAUACAUGCAAGUAGAACGCACAGUUUAUACCGUAGCUUGCUACACCAUAGACUGUGAGUUGCGAACGGGUGAGUAACGCGUAGGUAACCUGCCCGGUAGCGGGGGAUAACUAUUGGAAACGAUAGCUAAUACCGCAUAAUAUUGAUUAUUGCAUGAUAAUUGAUUGAAAGAUGCUAUUGCAUCACUACCAGAUGGACCUGCGUUGUAUUAGCUAGUAGGUGAGGUAACGGCUCACCUAGGCGACGAUACAUAGCCGACCUGAGAGGGUGAUCGGCCACACUGGGACUGAGACACGGCCCAGACUCCUACGGGAGGCAGCAGUAGGGAAUCUUCGGCAAUGGACGAAAGUCUGACCGAGCAACGCCGCGUGAGUGAAGAAGGUUUUCGGAUCGUAAAGCUCUGUUGUAAGAGAAGAACGGGUGUGAGAGUGGAAAGUUCACACUGUGACGGUAUCUUACCAGAAAGGGACGGCUAACUACGUG
RNAcentral lists this ribosomal RNA (505 nucleotides) under uncultured bacterium. RNAcentral's name for it is "partial 16S ribosomal RNA". It matches the Rfam family "Bacterial small subunit ribosomal RNA", at positions 28 to 507 of the family's 1533-position model. The record is from RNAcentral.